GAUGAACGCUGGCGGCGUGCCUAAUACAUGCAAGUCGAGCGAACGGACGAGAAGCUUGCUUUUCUGAUGUUAGCGGCGGACGGGUGAGUAACACGUGGAUAACCUACCUAUAAGACUGGGAUAACUUCGGGAAACCGGAGCUAAUACCGGAUAAUAUUUUGAACCGCAUGGUUCAAAAGUGAAAGACGGUCUUGCUGUCACUUAUAGAUGGAUCCGCGCUGCAUUAGCUAGUUGGUAAGGUAACGGCUUACCAAGGCAACGAUGCAUAGCCGACCUGAGAGGGUGAUCGGCCACACUGGAACUGAGACACGGUCCAGACUCCUACGGGAGGCAGCAGUAGGGAAUCUUCCGCAAUGGGCGAAAGCCUGACGGAGCAACGCCGCGUGAGUGAUGAAGGUCUUCGGAUCGUAAAACUCUGUUAUUAGGGAAGAACACAUGUGUAAGUAACUGUGCACAUCUUGACGGUACCUAAUCAGAAAGCCACGGCUAACUACG
RNAcentral lists this ribosomal RNA (495 nucleotides) under uncultured bacterium. Its description in RNAcentral is "partial 16S ribosomal RNA". It matches the Rfam family "Bacterial small subunit ribosomal RNA", at positions 28 to 505 of the family's 1533-position model. The record is from RNAcentral.